Balaenoptera acutorostrata (minke whale) is the source of this 540-nucleotide long non-coding RNA. RefSeq lists it as uncharacterized. The transcript is spliced from 5 exons. The record is from RefSeq and is a predicted model, not a curated record. Lineage: Eukaryota; Metazoa; Chordata; Mammalia; Artiodactyla; Balaenopteridae.
AAUGAACGUGAAAAACAGCCCAGAGGCGAAGACACACAAGAGCUUUGGGGUUUCCUGAGACUGCUGUCCCCAGACGGGCUCUCCAAAGCAUUCAGGGAUAAGAGGCAGCUGAGCUACAGUGAAAAAACACUGGACCUGGGCUCAGGAAAUCAGCUUAGAGUCUGAAUUCUGCUACUUGUCAUUUGGAUAGAGGUGUUUCUUUGAGAUCAAUUUUCACAUGUGUGAAAUGGUGAUAAUUCUACGUUCUCUGCUCCGUUUCUAAGCUGGCUGUGAGGAUGGAAGGAUAACGUUGAAAGGAAGGACUUCUGGUGAUGCAGAUUUCUUGGGAAAAUUGUUGAUUUUUCACUGUAUUCGGGAAGGAUGAGUUUUGAUGAUCAUUUCUUGUGCCUAAGGAUGCCAAAAGCCCACCGGACCAAAAUAAUAUUAAAGACAUCCAAGGAGAACAUCUCUGAAUGGGCGGCAAGAUUCCUCAGACAGGGGACACAGUUUCGAGCCCUGGUCCGGGAAGAUCCCACGUGCCGCGGAGCAACUAAGUCUGUG